RNAcentral lists this ribosomal RNA (460 nucleotides) under uncultured bacterium. RNAcentral describes it as "partial 16S ribosomal RNA". It matches the Rfam family "Bacterial small subunit ribosomal RNA", at positions 338 to 795 of the family's 1533-position model. The record is from RNAcentral.
CCUACGGGAGGCAGCAGUGAGGAAUAUUGGUCAAUGGACGAGAGUCUGAACCAGCCAAGUAGCGUGAAGGAUGACUGCCCUAGGGUUUGUAAACUUCUUUUAUAAAGGAAUAAAACGAGGCACGUGUGCCUUUUUGCAUGUACUUUAUGAAUAAGGAUCGGCUAACGUCGUGCCAGCAGCCGCGGGAAUACGGAGGAUUCGAGCGUUAUCCGGAUUUAUUGGGUUUAAAGGGAGCGUAGAUGGGGUGUUAAGUCAGUUGUGAAAGUUUGCGGCUCAACCGUAAAAUUGCAGUUGAUACUGGCAGUCUUGAGUACAGUUGAGGUCGGCGGAAUUCGUGGUGUAGCGGUGAAAUGCUUAGAUAUCACGAAGAACCCCGAUUGCGAAGGCAGCUUACUGAACUGUAACUGACGUUGAUGCUCGAAAGUGUGGGUAGCAAACAGGAUUAGAUACCCGAGUAGUC